CCUGGCUCAGAUUGAACGCUAGCGGCAGGCUUAAUACAUGCAAGUCGAGGGGACAGCACGGUUAGACAUAACUGGUGGCGACCGGCGCACGGGUGCGUAACACGUAUACAAUCUACCUUAAACAGGGGGAUAGCCUUUCGAAAGAGAGAUUAAUACCCCGUAAUAAAUUGAACGGCAUCGUUUGAUUUUGAAAGCUCCGGCGGUUUGAGAUGAGUAUGCGUCUGAUUAGCUAGUUGGUGAGGUAACGGCUCACCAAGGCGACGAUCAGUAGGGGACCUGAGAGGACUAACCCCCACACUGGUACUGAGACACGGACCAGACUCCUACGGGAGGCAGCAGUAAGGAAUAUUGGUCAAUGGAGGCAACUCUGAACCAGCCAUGCCGCGUGCAGGAUGACGGCCCUAUGGGUUGUAAACUGCUUUUAUACAAGAGAAAACCCUGGUACGUGUACCAAGUUGAUAGUAUUGUAAGAAUAAGCAUCGGCUAACUUCGUG
RNAcentral lists this ribosomal RNA (494 nucleotides) under uncultured bacterium. RNAcentral's name for it is "bacterial SSU rRNA". It matches the Rfam family "Bacterial small subunit ribosomal RNA", at positions 18 to 507 of the family's 1533-position model. The record is from RNAcentral.